AUUGAACGCUGGCGGCAGGCCUAACACAUGCAAGUCGAGCGGAUGAAGGGAGCUUGCUCCUGGAUUCAGCGGCGGACGGGUGAGUAAUGCCUAGGAAUCUGCCUGGUAGUGGGGGAUAACGUCCGGAAACGGGCGCUAAUACUGCAUACGUCCUGAUGGAGAAAGUGGGGGAUCUUCGGACCUCACGCUAUCAGAGGAGCCUAGUUCGGAUUAGUUAGUUGGUGGGGUAAAGACUUACCAAGGCGACGAUCCGUAACUGGUCUGAGAGGAUGAUCAGUCACACUGGAACUGAGACACGGUCCAGACUCCUACGGGAGGCAGCAGUGGGGAAUAUUGGACAAUGGGCGAAAGCCUGAUCCAGCCAUGCCGCGUGUGUGAAGAAGGUCUUCGGAUUGUAAAGAACUUUAAGUUGGGAGGAAGGGCAGUAAGUUAAUACCUUGCUGUUUUGACGUUACCAACAGAAUAAGCACCGGCUAACUUCGUG
Molecule: ribosomal RNA, 484 nt
Filed under: uncultured bacterium
Lineage: Bacteria
Description: partial 16S ribosomal RNA
Rfam family: Bacterial small subunit ribosomal RNA
Source: RNAcentral